RNAcentral lists this ribosomal RNA (553 nucleotides) under uncultured archaeon. RNAcentral's name for it is "bacterial SSU rRNA". It matches the Rfam family "Archaeal small subunit ribosomal RNA", at positions 326 to 879 of the family's 1478-position model. The record is from RNAcentral.
CGGGGUGCAGCAGGCGCGAAAACUUUACAAUGCCGGCAACGGCGAUAAGGGAACCUCGAGUGCCAGGUUACAAAUCUGGCUGUCGUGAUGCCUAAAAAGCAUUGCAUAGCAAGGGCCGGGCAAGACCGGUGCCAGCCGCCGCGGUAACACCGGCGGCUCGAGUGGUAACCGUUAUUAUUGGGUCUAAAGGGUCUGUAGCCGGCCGGGUAAGUCUCUUGGGAAAUCUGGCAGCUUAACUGUCAGACUUUCAGGAGAUACUGCCUGGCUCGAGGCCGGGAGAGGUGAGAGGUACUUCAGGGGUAGGGGUGAAAUCUUGUAAUCCUUGAAGGACCACCAGCGGCGAAGGCGCCUCACCAGAACGGACCUGACGGCGAGGGACGAAAGCUAGGGGCACGAACCGGAUUAGAUACCCGGGUAGUCCUAGCCGUAAACGAUACUCGCUAGGUGUCGGCCACGGUGCGACCGUGGUCGGUGCCGUAGGGAAGCCGUGAAGCGAGCCACCUGGGAAGUACGGCCGCAAGGCUGAAACUUAAAGGAAUUGGCGGGGGAGCAC